Molecule: ribosomal RNA, 428 nt
Filed under: uncultured archaeon
Lineage: Archaea
Description: bacterial SSU rRNA
Rfam family: Archaeal small subunit ribosomal RNA
Source: RNAcentral
UACCUGCAGCUCGAGUGGUAACCGCUUUUAUUGGGCCUAAAGCGUCCGUAGCCGGUUUGGUAAAUAUCUGGGUAAAUCGUGAGGCUUAACUUCACGAAUUUCGGAUAGACUGCCAGACUUGGGAUCGGGGGAGGUCAGAGGUACUCCAGGGGUAGCGGUGAAAUGUUGUAAUCCUUGGAGGACCACCGGUAGCGAAGGCGUCUGACUAGAACGAGUCCGACGGCGAGGGACGAAGCCCUGGGGCGCAAACCGGAUUAGAUACCCGGGUAGUCCAGGGUGUAAACAAUGUGGGCUUUGUAUUGGAGGUCCUACGUGGGCGUCCAGUGCAGAAGAGAAGUUGUUAAGCCCACGCCUGGGAAGUACGGUCGCAAGGCUGAAACUUAAAGGAAUUGGCGGGGGAGCACAGCAACGGGAGGAGCGUGCGGUUU